RNAcentral lists this unclassified non-coding RNA (204 nucleotides) under plant metagenome. Its description in RNAcentral is "partial contains small subunit ribosomal RNA, internal transcribed spacer 1, and 5.8S ribosomal RNA". The record is from RNAcentral.
UUUCCGUAGGUGAACCUGCGGAAGGAUCAUUUCCUAGAGUUUGUAGACUUCGGUCUGCUACCUCUUACCCAUGUCUUUUGAGUACCUUCGUUUCCUCGGCGGGUCCGCCCGCCGAUUGGACAACAUUCAAACCCUUUGCAGUUGCAAUCAGCGUCUGAAAAAACAUAAUAGUUACAACUUUCAACAACGGAUCUCUUGGUUCUG